Molecule: unclassified non-coding RNA, 344 nt
Filed under: soil metagenome
Description: partial contains 5.8S ribosomal RNA, internal transcribed spacer 2, and large subunit ribosomal RNA
Rfam family: 5.8S ribosomal RNA (bases 1-119)
Source: RNAcentral
GAUGAAGAACGUAGCGAAAUGCGAUACGUAAUGUGAAUUGCAAAUUCAGUGAAUCAUCGAGUCUUUGAACGCACAUUGCGCCCCCUGGUAUUCCGGGGGGCAUGCCUGUCCGAGCGUCAUUGCUGCCCUCAAGCACGGCUUGUGUGUUGGGCCCCGUCCUCCGAUCCCGGGGGACGGGCGCGAAAGGCAGCGGCGGCACCGCGUCCGGUCCUCGAGCGUAUGGGGCUUUGUCACCCGCUCUGUAGGCCCGGCCGGCGCUUGCCGAUCAACCCAAAUUUUUAUCCAGGUUGACCUCGGAUCAGGUAGGGAUACCCGCUGAACUUAAGCAUAUCAAUAAGCGGAGA